AUCAAGCAGAAGGUUGAUGGCAAAAACAUAACUGGAGGAGUCUUGGCUUAAUGCAGUAACAUGUUUUUGGUGUCUAUGUAUUUGUAUGUAGAUGUAAGUUGUUUGGCUUUCCACUAUCCAGCUGUGUCUCCAUGAACAGUGAGUGCCAUGGAUCCUCCUCUUAUAUUAACAGAGGGAGACUGGACACAGUGUAACCCAGGUAAAGAGACCAGACUCACCAUUACCCAGCUGUGUCUCCAUGAAGAGUGAUGCGUCUAUGAAUGUUCCUCUUAGAUUAAAAGAUGGACAGCCCUCACCUGAACACAGGUAAUAAUGCCUGAACUCUGUUUUUAGGAGUAUACCAAUUGAGGAAAAGUGCAAAGCUUGUCUGUGCAGUAGAUUUCCAGUAUUCUCCCAUGAAACCACUUUCAGGACGUAACCUUUCAUCACUUGUGAGGUACUUUAAACACAUUACAGUUAAGUGUUCUGUCAGAAAAUAUAAUAAUCAUCCUGUCAAGGCAAUUAUUUGAAUGCAAGUAAGCAGGAAAACACAAGGGAAAAGGGGAAACCUCAUUCCAGGCCAUGACAAAAAAAGAAAUUUAAAUACAUUCUCUUCUGAAACGUCACAUUUUAGGACAAACAGCAUAUGAGAUUUUUAGCACAUUAAAUGAAAAUUCUGUAAUUAUCUAACAUGGGUGCAAAAAUAUUUUAGUCACAGGAGCUGAGAGUAAAGAGAAGGAUUUUAAUGAAAGUAUAAAGUGUUUGGUCAGUAUAUUUUCCAAUUUGAACCAUUUGUUUAUGUUCUGCAAUGUCUGUUUAUGUUAAUGAACAUGGACUCGAGAAAUACAGUUGUGGAUAUACAAAAUGUAGAAACUAUUUAGAGCCAGAGGAGGUGAGCAAUAAGAACAAGAAUUUACUAAAAGUGCAACAUAAUGAAUGUUACAGUCCCAGUACAGUAGCUUAUAUUAAAUAUACAAAAUGUAGAAACUAAUUCAUAGAUUAGUUUUCAAUAGAAAAUUAAUGGAAUGUACUGAGAUAAUACAAUUUUCUGAAUAUCUUCAGUCACUGUACAGAAGAUUAUAUUAAUUUCAUGUUCAGUGGCCAAAUCAUGUUUGUUUUCCAGUGUCUGUUAUUGUUAAUGAAAAUGCAAGAAAUAACUAAAUUUGUUGACAUUUUUUGCACAUUGUUGUUCAGUGUAACCCCAGUAAGGAGACCAGACUCACCAUUACCCAGCUAUGCCUCCAUGAAGAGUGAUGCAUCUAUCGAUGUUCAAAGUCAAAGUCAAAGAAGCUUUAUUGUCACUUGAACCAUAUAUAGCAGAUGCAGUACACAGUGAAGUGAGACAACGUUCCUCCUAGUCCAGAGGUGCUACACAUAACACAGACAAAGUACAGUGACGCAGACAAACAUAGAGCUAAACAUAGAGAUAAAAAAAUUAAACUAUAAUUUAAAAAUUAAAAUUAAACUAAAAAAAUUAAACUUUACUUAAAGGCUUGAUCACACUACAAGACUUGCUUUGCUUUGCUGUUCAGACUACAUGACUUCACUGUAUGUGUUUUUGUCCUUGUGGUGUUCACACUACGCCACGCUUCGUAAAUGAUCCACAAGAGGGUGUCGCACACCACACCAUCUGACAACAACUCUUGUCACUCAACGCCGUCCCAAAACCAUGUUUUGUCACGAAAACACACGCGACAGGUGGAUCCGGAAAUGACGCGAGACUUUCGGUAGAGGUUUGUUUUGAAAAUGGACGUUGGCAGGAGUCUCGCUCUAGAUAAAUGUUAAUUUAUUAAAAUAAAUGUUGUGUCCACACUAUUUUUGAAGCCAUGUUGCUGCUGCUUUUCUUCCGGUAACCUCAACUCUGUAGACUUGCUCUCUUAUUGGCUGGAGGUCAUAGCUACAAUUGACACCAUGUGAUGUCGAGUCGGCCGACCGUCCCAGAUAUUUAACAUGCCAGAUAUCUGGAUUUUGUCUGCAAGGUGUCAGCGAUGCAUCAGCGAGCCUCUUUGAUGCGGUGUUGAGUAGUUCACACAUUUGCAGAUCGGGCUUAAAUCGGGCUUAAAUUGGGCUUAAAAUCCUGUAGUGUGAACUAGUCUUUAAUCUCAGCUCUUUAACUGUAUAAAAGACACCUGUCCACAGAAGGAAGCAAUCAAUCAGAUUCCAAACUCUCCAUCAUGGCCAAGACCAAAGAGCUGUCCAUGGAUAUCAGGGACAAGAUUGUAGACCUACACAAGGCUGGAAUGAGCUACAAGACCAUCGCCAAGCAGCUUGGUGAGAAGGUGACAACAGUUGGUGCGAUUAUUCCCAAAUGGAAGAAACACAAAAGGACUGUCAAUCGGGUGAGGACUUCCUCGGUCUGGGGCUCCAUGCAAGAUCUCACCUCAUGGAGUUUCAAUGAUCAUGAGACCGGCGAGGAAUCAGCCCAGAAUUACACUGGAGGAUUUUGUCAAUGAUCUCAGCUGGGACCAUAGUCACCAAGAAAACAAUUGGUAACACACUACACCAUGAAAGACUGAAAUCCAGUAGCGCCCACAAAGUCCUCCUGCUAAAGAAACCACAUGUACAGGCUCAUCUGAAGUUUGCCAGUGAACAUCUGAAUGAGUCAGUGGAGAACUGGGUGAAAGUGUUGUGGUCAAAUGAGACCAAAAUCCAGCUCUUUGGCAUCAACUCAACUCACCAUGUUUGGAGGAGGAGGAAUGCUGCCUAUGACUCCAAGAAGACCAUACCCACUGUCAAACAUGGAGGAGGAAACGUUAUGCUUUGGGGGUGUUUUUCUGCUAAGGGGACAGGACAACUGCACCUCAUCAAAGGGUCGAUGGACGGGGCCAUGUACCGUCAAAUCUUGAGUGAGAACCUCCUUCCCUCAGCCAGGGCAUUGAAAAUGAGUCGUAGAUGGAUAUUGCAGCCUGACAAUGACCCAAAACAUACGGCCAAGGCAACAAAGGAGUGGUUCAAAAAGAAGCACAUUAAGGUCCUGUAGUGGCCUAGCCAGUCUCCAGACCUUAAUCCCAUAGAAAAUCUGUGGAAGGAGCUGAAGGGUCAGCCACAAAACCUUAAUGACUUGGAGAGGAUCUCCAAAGAAGAGUGGGCCCAAAUUCCUUGAGAUGUGAGAUGUGUGCAAACCUGGUGGCCAACUACAAGAAAUAUCUGACGUCUGUGAUUGCCAUCAAGGGUUUGGCACCAAGUACUAACUCAUGUUUUGCAACUCAUGUUAUACACAAUAUAUACACAAUAUACACGUUAUACACAAUAUAUAUAUAUAUAUAUAUAUAUAUAUAUAUAUAUAUAUAUAUAUACACACACACACUAAACAAAGUGGUAUAUACACAUAUAUACACAUAAAUGCAGACAUGAACAUGAAGGGAUGUAUGUGUAUAUGGCAUAUAUUGAGGUGAUCCAGUGUUCACCUCAAAAAAAAUCAUUAAAGUAUCAGGGGGCUCUUCAUUUUUAAAUGCAAGAGGAGGAUCCACAGAUGCAUCACUCUUCAUGGAGACAUAACUGUUGUGCAAGUGAUGAAAAGCAGAGAGAGUCCCGGUAUCUGUUUCAGGUUCUAGGUGUUUCCUGGUUCAGACUCCGAAUGGCCUGCAGGAAGAAGCUCCUCCUCAUUCUCUCUGUGUUUGCCUUCAUGGAGCGGAAGCGCUUCCCUGAAUGCAACAGAAAAAAGAGUCCAUCGUUGGGAUGGCUGAGGUCCUUCACAAUCUUCCUGGCCCUGAUCCGGCACCGCUUGCUGUAGAUGUCCUGUAGGUCAGGGAGCUUGGUGUGGAUGGUCUGGAUACUGUGAAGCAUGCAGUGUACCCAGGACCAGUCUAAAGCAAGCAAUCCAGGAUGUCAACACUCUGAUAGAGGACAAUUUUACAGCUCUGACCCUCAGUGCACAAGAGAUGUGUUAGCAGGGUGGAAAUACACAUUGUUGCUGGCCACAAUGGCAUCUGAGCACAUGUGGAGCAGUUAGUGUUUACAGAUAUAUUCCACUCAAAACUUCCAUCUAGUGCCAUGUACCCCCAUCAUCACCAAGUACUUUGAAAGACUGGUCUUCUCUUCAUCUGAAAUUGUGGCUUCAGCCAUCACUGGUUCCCAAUAAUAUGCUUCUCAUCAUUAGAGAGUUAAGGAAAUAUUACCUCUGUCCAGGUGAGGGCUGUCCAUCUUUUAAUAUAAGAGGAACAUCCAUAGACAAAUCACUCUUCAUGGAGACACAGCUGGGUAAUGGUGGGGGCUCUUCAUUUUUAAAUGCAAGAGGAGGAUCCACAGAUGCAUCACUCUUCAUGGAGACAUAACUGUGUAAUGGUGAGUCUGGUCUCUUUACCUGGGUUACACUGAAC
This is a long non-coding RNA of Hemibagrus wyckioides, 4298 nucleotides long. RefSeq lists it as uncharacterized. The transcript is spliced from 6 exons. NCBI's taxonomy places the organism in Eukaryota, Metazoa, Chordata, Actinopteri, Siluriformes, Bagridae. The record is from RefSeq and is a predicted model, not a curated record.